Molecule: non-coding RNA, 149 nt
Organism: Gorilla gorilla gorilla (western lowland gorilla)
Lineage: Eukaryota; Metazoa; Chordata; Mammalia; Primates; Hominidae
Source: Rfam
GCCGGGUGUGGUGGUGCAUGCCUGUAAUCCCAGCUACUUAGGAGGCUGAGGCAGGAGAAUCACUUGAACCCAGGAGGCAGAGGUUGCAGUAAGCCAAGAUUGCACCACUGCACUCUAGUCUGGGUGACAGAGUGAGACCCUGUCUCGAU